This 1372-nucleotide ribosomal RNA is filed under the name uncultured bacterium. RNAcentral describes it as "bacterial SSU rRNA". It matches the Rfam family "Bacterial small subunit ribosomal RNA", at positions 28 to 1381 of the family's 1533-position model. The record is from RNAcentral.
GAUGAACGCUGGCGGCGUGCCUAAUACAUGCAAGUCGAGCGAACGGACGAGAAGCUUGCUUCUCUGAUGUUAGCGGCGGACGGGUGAGUAACACGUGGAUAACCUACCUAUAAGACUGGGAUAACUUCGGGAAACCGGAGCUAAUACCGGAUAAUAUUUUGAACCGCAUGGUUCAAAAGUGAAAGACGGUCUUGCUGUCACUUAUAGAUGGAUCCGCGCUGCAUUAGCUAGUUGGUAAGGUAACGGCUUACCAAGGCAACGAUGCAUAGCCGACCUGAGAGGGUGAUCGGCCACACUGGAACUGAGACACGGUCCAGACUCCUACGGGAGGCAGCAGUAGGGAAUCUUCCGCAAUGGGCGAAAGCCUGACGGAGCAACGCCGCGUGAGUGAUGAAGGUCUUCGGAUCGUAAAACUCUGUUAUUAGGGAAGAACAUAUGUGUAAGUAACUGUGCACAUCUUGACGGUACCUAAUCAGAAAGCCACGGCUAACUACGUGCCAGCAGCCGCGGUAAUACGUAGGUGGCAAGCGUUAUCCGGAAUUAUUGGGCGUAAAGCGCGCGUAGGCGGUUUUUUAAGUCUGAUGUGAAAGCCCACGGCUCAACCGUGGAGGGUCAUUGGAAACUGGAAAACUUGAGUGCAGAAGAGGAAAGUGGAAUUCCAUGUGUAGCGGUGAAAUGCGCAGAGAUAUGGAGGAACACCAGUGGCGAAGGCGACUUUCUGGUCUGUAACUGACGCUGAUGUGCGAAAGCGUGGGGAUCAAACAGGAUUAGAUACCCUGGUAGUCCACGCCGUAAACGAUGAGUGCUAAGUGUUAGGGGGUUUCCGCCCCUUAGUGCUGCAGCUAACGCAUUAAGCACUCCGCCUGGGGAGUACGACCGCAAGGUUGAAACUCGAAGGAAUUGACGGGGACCCGCACAAGCGGUGGAGCAUGUGGUUUAAUUCGAAGCAACGCGAAGAACCUUACCAAAUCUUGACAUCCUUUGACAACUCUAGAGAUAGAGCCUUCCCCUUCGGGGGACAAAGUGACAGGUGGUGCAUGGUUGUCGUCAGCUCGUGUCGUGAGAUGUUGGGUUAAGUCCCGCAACGAGCGCAACCCUUAAGCUUAGUUGCCAUCAUUAAGUUGGGCACUCUAAGUUGACUGCCGGUGACAAACCGGAGGAAGGUGGGGACGACGUCAAAUCAUCAUGCCCCUUAUGAUUUGGGCUACACACGUGCUACAAUGGACAAUACAAAGGGCAGCGAAACCGCGAGGUCAAGCAAAUCCCAUAAAGUUGUUCUCAGUUCGGAUUGUAGUCUGCAACUCGACUACAUGAAGCUGGAAUCGCUAGUAAUCGUAGAUCAGCAUGCUACGGUGAAUACGUUCCCGGGUCU